GACGAACGCUGGCGGCGUGCUUAACACAUGCAAGUCGAACGGUAAGGCCCCACUUUCCUGGGGUACACGAGUGGAACACGUGAGUGAAACACGAGUAACCCCUGCUCCACACUUGGGUAUACGCCGGGGAAACUGUGUAUUAUCGGAGAUAAGCCCGCACCGCGUGGUGGGGGUUGGAAAUAUUUCUCGGUUUUGGAUGGACUCGCGGCCUAUCAGCUUGUUGGUGAGGUAAUGGCUCACCAAGGCGACGACGGGUAGCCGGCCUGAGAGGGUGACCGGCCACAUUGGGACUGAGACACGGCCCAGACUCCUACGGGAGGCAGCAGUGGGGAAUAUUGCACAAUGGGCGGAAGCCUGAUGCAGCGACGCCGCGUGAGGGAUGACGGCCUUCGGGUUGUAAACCUCUUUCAGUAGGGAAGAAGCGAAAGUGACGGUACAUGGAGAAGAAGCACCGGCUAACUACGUG
Molecule: ribosomal RNA, 466 nt
Filed under: uncultured bacterium
Lineage: Bacteria
Description: partial 16S ribosomal RNA
Rfam family: Bacterial small subunit ribosomal RNA
Source: RNAcentral